RNAcentral lists this ribosomal RNA (72 nucleotides) under Gongronella butleri. RNAcentral's name for it is "5.8S ribosomal RNA". It matches the Rfam family "5.8S ribosomal RNA", at positions 6 to 77 of the family's 154-position model. Rfam says of the family: 5.8S ribosomal RNA (5.8S rRNA) is a component of the large subunit of the eukaryotic ribosome. It is transcribed by RNA polymerase I as part of the 45S precursor that also contains 18S and 28S rRNA. Functionally, it is thought that 5.8S rRNA may be involved in ribosome translocation. The record is from RNAcentral. Lineage: Eukaryota; Fungi; Mucoromycota; Mucoromycetes; Mucorales; Cunninghamellaceae.
UCAACAAUGGAUCUCUCGGCUUACGCAUCGAUGAAGAACGCAGCGAAUCGCGAUAUGUAAUGUGAUCUGCAU